This is a long non-coding RNA of Saccostrea echinata, 280 nucleotides long. RefSeq lists it as uncharacterized. The transcript has 3 exons. NCBI's taxonomy places the organism in Eukaryota, Metazoa, Mollusca, Bivalvia, Ostreida, Ostreidae. The record is from RefSeq and is a predicted model, not a curated record.
GUUGUGAUUCACAAAUUAAAGUGCCUACGUAGAAGAUCACAAACUGUUCCGGCAAGAGAGAUGCUGCUCUAUGUUAGAUGCUUAUCCUGUCAGUUAUUAAAGGAGGGUCAGUGGAUGUUUCCAGGGGAAUAUAUCAGUACGCUCAAGACUCUGGAUGAUAUAUUCGCUCAGAAAUCAAUAGAAUAUAUUUAUGAAAAGAAUAUGAAGGAUGAAUUCAAAUCCGGUCUUUGGGAAGAUAUAAAGACAACAACAAAAUCAGCAUACCGUCCACCCAAACAAA